This 716-nucleotide long non-coding RNA is filed under the name Chrysemys picta bellii (western painted turtle). RNAcentral describes it as "lncRNA (ENSCPBG00000018695.1)". The record is from RNAcentral. Lineage: Eukaryota; Metazoa; Chordata; Testudines; Emydidae.
AUGAAAACCAGACACUUGCUUUUGUUCAUCUCAGAUUCAAUCUUAUACACCCCUGCAAUGGCUUUGCUGGCGUUCGUCACGGUGAGCCAUCUGAUUGUAACAGAGCCUGCACCAACCUCAGCUCCGGUAUCCCAGGUGGCCCUGGUCAGCAGCGGGACGGCAGCUGCGGAGCCUGGAUCUUGGUCCAGCCGUAUUGCCGUGGUGGUGGUGCCGGUGGUGGGGUCAGUGAUGGUGGCGGCGCUGUUGAUAUGGCAGAUAAAGAAUAUUGCUCGCUACGUGCGCUCGUUCGGCAGCCGUCAUGAUUUCCCUGCCAGAGCCGCCCCGUCCCAGCAGGCCAGCGACUCAGGCCCCAUGCAGGAGCUGGCAGAGCUGACGCAGCUGGAGGACGCCAGAGGUGGGGACCGGUCAGCUCUGCUGAAUGGGAAACUUCUCGGCAGCGCUGAAAUGCUAAACGUGGGGGACUGGAGAGUGGGGAGGGAUGAACCCUGUCCCUCAACAUCCACUCAAUGUGCAGUGGCAGUCAAGACUGGUACUUUUUAGCUUGGAAAAGAGAUGACUAACGGGGGAUACAAUGGAGGUCUAUAAAAUCAUGACUGGGUUGGAGAAAGUAAAUAAGGAAGUGUUGUUUAUUCCUUCUCAUAACACAAGAACUAGGGGUCACCAAAUGAAAUGAAUAGGCAGCAGUUUUAAAACAAAUAAAAGGAAGUAUUUCUUCA